UCUUUUAGACAUUGGGUAGGGGAGCGUUCUGUAAGCCGUUGAAGGUGAAUCGUAAGGUUUGCUGGAGGUAUCAGAAGUGCGAAUGCUGACAUGAGUAACGACAAAGGGGGUGAAAAACCUCCUCGCCGGAAGACCAAGGGUUCCUGUCCAACGUUAAUCGGGGCAGGGUGAGUCGACCCCUAAGGUGAGGCCGAAAGGCGUAAUCGAUGGGAAACGGGUUAAUAUUCCCGUACUUCUGACUAUUGCGAUGGGGGGACGGAGAAGGCUAGGUGGGCCAGGCGACGGUUGUCCUGGUUCAAGUGCGUAGGCUUGAGAGUUAGGUAAAUCCGGCUCUCUCUAAGGCUGAGACACGACGUCGAGCUACUACGGUAGUGAAGUCAUUGAUGCCAUGCUUCCAGGAAAAGCCUCUAAGCUUCAGAUAGUCAGGAAUCGUACCCCAAACCGACACAGGUGGUCGGGUAGAGAAUACCAAGGCGCUUGAGAGAACUCGGGUGAAGGAACUAGGCAAAAUGGUACCGUAACUUCGGGAGAAGGUACGCUCUUGAUGGUGAAGUCCCUCGCGGAUGGAGCUGACGAGAGUCGCAGAUACCAGGUGGCUGCAACUGUUUAUUAAAAACACAGCACUGUGCAAAAUCGCAAGAUGACGUAUACGGUGUGACGCCUGCCCGGUGCCGGA
RNAcentral lists this ribosomal RNA (676 nucleotides) under Vibrio cholerae. Its description in RNAcentral is "partial 23S ribosomal RNA". It matches the Rfam family "Bacterial large subunit ribosomal RNA", at positions 1213 to 1873 of the family's 2925-position model. RNAcentral also lists the same sequence under 1 other name. Lineage: Bacteria; Pseudomonadati; Pseudomonadota; Gammaproteobacteria; Vibrionales; Vibrionaceae. The record is from RNAcentral.